RNAcentral lists this unclassified non-coding RNA (211 nucleotides) under Fusicolla aquaeductuum. Its description in RNAcentral is "partial internal transcribed spacer region". The stretch from base 1 to 46 matches the Rfam family "Eukaryotic small subunit ribosomal RNA", at positions 1786 to 1831 of the family's 1831-position model. The record is from RNAcentral. Lineage: Eukaryota; Fungi; Ascomycota; Sordariomycetes; Hypocreales; Nectriaceae.
AAGUCGUAACAAGGUCUCCGUUGGUGAACCAGCGGAGGGAUCAUUACUGAGUAUCUUACUCUCUACCCUUUGUGAACUAUUAUACCUGUUGCUUCGGCGGCGUCCCCCCGGGGGCGCCCGCCGGAGACCCAAAACUCUUGUAUUUCUUUAGUAUCUUCUGAGUAAACAAGCAAAUAAAUUAAAACUUUCAACAACGGAUCUCUUGGCUCUC